Long non-coding RNA from Quercus lobata, 347 nucleotides. RefSeq lists it as uncharacterized. The transcript is spliced from 2 exons. Lineage: Eukaryota; Viridiplantae; Streptophyta; Magnoliopsida; Fagales; Fagaceae. The record is from RefSeq and is a predicted model, not a curated record.
GGGGGGUCAGGAUUUUGAGAGAACUUUGUCAUCUGGUCUACUGCUUGGAAGAUCAGGACAAAAAAUCAGUGGCACAUGGUGACCAAUAUGUCAUGAUUUUGGGAAGGCCAGAUUACUCAACAAUAAAGAAAGCAGCCCAACAAAGGUGGAUGAAGCAACUUGUUUGUGAAACAAGUUGGCCUGUGUGGGAACCAUAAUAGUAGUGGUGUGUCUAAAAUUUAUUAUAGUGUGCCUCAAUAUUUCUCUUUAAUCUGUACCCUAUAGUGGAGGCAUGAACUAGGUUGUCAUAAAAAUUUGUCGAGGGACUACCAUUUUACAAAAAUAUAAUGCAUUGUUAUUGCGUGGCA